This 66-nucleotide transfer RNA is filed under the name Miniopterus natalensis. RNAcentral describes it as "tRNA-Pro". The record is from RNAcentral. Lineage: Eukaryota; Metazoa; Chordata; Mammalia; Chiroptera; Miniopteridae.
UGCAAGGAUUAGUUUAAGUAGAAUUUCAGCUUUGGGUGCUGACGGUAGGGCUCAUGCUCUUUCCUU